UACGAAGGGGGCGAGCGUUGUUCGGAUUUACUGGGCGUAAAGGGCGCGCAGGCGGCUCAUUUUGUCAGGCGUGAAAGCCCCGGGCUUAACCUGGGAACUGCGUUUGAUACGGAUGGGCUAGAGUUCGGGAGAGGAGAGUGGAAUUCCCAGUGUAGAGGUGAAAUUCGUAGAUAUUGGGAAGAACACCGGUGGCGAAGGCGGGUCUCUGGGCAGUAACUGACGCUGAGGAGCGAAAGCGUGGGGAGCGAACAGG
RNAcentral lists this ribosomal RNA (253 nucleotides) under uncultured bacterium. RNAcentral's name for it is "partial 16S ribosomal RNA". It matches the Rfam family "Bacterial small subunit ribosomal RNA", at positions 524 to 776 of the family's 1533-position model. The record is from RNAcentral.